This 258-nucleotide unclassified non-coding RNA is filed under the name Hevea brasiliensis (rubber tree). The record is from RNAcentral. Lineage: Eukaryota; Viridiplantae; Streptophyta; Magnoliopsida; Malpighiales; Euphorbiaceae.
CUUAUGUGUGAGUGAUUCAAUAGUUGAGCUUGUUCCUUCAAUACAACAAUUCCCUGGUGGAGGCACAUAUGAGGUCAUGGCAACUAGGCCACGCCCAGAUUUAUACAUUAAUCUCCCUGCCCUGAAGAAGCUUGAUGCCAUGCUAAUUAGCAUGCUUGAUGGGUUUUGUGACACGGAGUUCUGGUAUGUGGAUCGGGGGAUAAUUGUAGCUGAUGGUGGUGAUUGCGAUUUGUAUCCAUCAAGUAUUUCUAGUGGGAG